RNAcentral lists this long non-coding RNA (491 nucleotides) under Drosophila guanche. The record is from RNAcentral. Lineage: Eukaryota; Metazoa; Arthropoda; Insecta; Diptera; Drosophilidae.
GCUCGAUGUGAACAUCUAGGAGAGUAAUUGAAAAUAAAAUUUCGGAAAGAAAAGUAAAAAAGAAACUUUCAGUUCGUAAAUAUAAAGCAAAAGUACUAUUAACAGUUAUUCGAUUCACAAAACAAAAGCAAACAAAACAGUGGUUGCUUAUCAGUCAAUAACAAAGUGUUGUUGUUAUCAUAAACGACGACGAAGACGACACAUCGGCUUGGAACUGGCAGAGAGUAAAAUCGAAGUCAAAGGCAAUCAAGAGACAAAACCAAGCCUCUCCUAUUCUACUAAAGAAAAACAUCGCUCUGGUCUUAGCACCCAGCUCCAGCUCCAAUCAAUAUGCCCUCCUAAGCGACAGCACGCCUAAUAACGGAAAUGAAGACGAAAACAAAGAACUGCACAUGAUAACUGAAGAUAACUGAAAUUAAUCUGCCAAGCCGCCACCUAUAUUCUUAUCUGAAGUCUGUGAAAUAAAAGGAAUGCUAAAACUCUUACUAAAG